Molecule: long non-coding RNA, 721 nt
Organism: Pseudophryne corroboree (corroboree frog)
Lineage: Eukaryota; Metazoa; Chordata; Amphibia; Anura; Myobatrachidae
Exons: 3
Source: RefSeq, a predicted model, not a curated record
UGCUGAUAGACAGUGUUACUGCCAGCUGCCGCAGCCUGCGCCUGUCACACUGACAGGCAGCAGCAGCGCUGGUAGGAUGAACAGCUGAGCUGAUAUCCUGUGCCAGGAACCUCCCCUCUCCCCUCUUCUCCCGCUGCACAUGUCCAGAGUCCCGCAUGAAGAUAGGCAGCAGCGUCGCCCCUCCCUCCCCUGUGACUCUGUAUGAAGACACAGCAGUCUUCAGCACCGCUUACCCCCCUCCCCCAUCAGUGGAGGAGGCAGGAAGUCACGUGCAUUGGAGGAAGCAGCAGAGCAGAGUCAGACAUGAGAACUUCGAAGAGCAGCAGCCACACACUGAGGAGCAGAGACUGAGGGUGUUGUCUCUCUGCAAUGACCCGUCUCACACUUACCGGUAGCUGUGACCUCACCAGUUCUUUCAGUGGAGAACACUGGUACUGCUCUAACUGGGUGGACAGGCCCCACCUGAGUUUCCUGCAAAGCGACUGCCUGAAUGAGAGCUGGGAUUUGGCUGGAUCCUUCAUCUUCCUGUGACCUAGGACCUUGAAGACUUCAAAACAGGAUACAACUUGCAAAGCGUAUGAGCAACCCGUGAUUGGUCCUCCAGCUCACACCACACCUCCACCCGCUAAGCAUCAUAAAACGUCAGGAAGAAAAUUCAGAGGGACCCUGUGAAAUUGGCCGGAUGGAGUAGCUCCUGGGACCCCAGUUCGGGGGAGCAGGU